AGUGAACGCUGGCGGUAGGCCUAACACAUGCAAGUCGAACGGCAGCACAGUAAGAGCUUGCUCUUACGGGUGGCGAGUGGCGGACGGGUGAGGAAUACAUCGGAAUCUACUUAGUCGUGGGGGAUAACGUAGGGAAACUUACGCUAAUACCGCAUACGACCUACGGGUGAAAGCAGGGGAUCUUCGGACCUUGCGCGAUUGAAUGAGCCGAUGUCGGAUUAGCUAGUUGGCGGGGGAAAGGCCCACCAAGGCGACGAUCCGUAGCUGGUCUGAGAGGAUGAUCGGCCACACUGGAACUGAGACACGGUCCAGACUCCUACGGGAGGCAGCAGUGGGGAAUAUUGGACAAUGGGCGAAAGCCUGAUGCAGCCAUGCCGCGUGGGUGAAGAAGGCCUUCGGAUUGUAAAGCUCUUUUGUUGGGAAAGAACAGAAGCAGGUUUAAACCCGGCCGUUCUGACGGUACCCAAACAAUAAGCACCGGCUAACUUCGUG
Molecule: ribosomal RNA, 492 nt
Filed under: uncultured bacterium
Lineage: Bacteria
Description: partial 16S ribosomal RNA
Rfam family: Bacterial small subunit ribosomal RNA
Source: RNAcentral